GUGAACGCUGGCGGUAGGCCUAACCCAUGCAGGUCGCACGGCAGCACAGUAAGAGCUUGCUCUUACGGGUGGCGAGUGGCGGACGGGUGAGGAAUACAUCGGAAUCUACUUUUUCGUGGGGGAUAACGUAGGGAAACUUACGCUAAUACCGCAUACGACCUACGGGUGAAAGCAGGGGAUCUUCGGACCUUGCGCGAUUGAAUGAGCCGAUGUCGGAUUAGCUAGUUGGCGGGGUAAAGGCCCACCAAGGCGACGAUCCGUAGCUGGUCUGAGAGGAUGAUCAGCCACACUGGAACUGAGACACGGUCCAGACUCCUACGGGAGGCAGCAGUGGGGAAUAUUGGACAAUGGGCGCAAGCCUGAUCCAGCCAUACCGCGUGGGUGAAGAAGGCCUUCGGGUUGUAAAGCCCUUUUGUUGGGAAAGAAAAGCAGCAGGUUAAUACCCCGCUGUCCUGACGGUACCCAAAGAAUAAGCACCGGCUAACUUCGUG
RNAcentral lists this ribosomal RNA (491 nucleotides) under uncultured bacterium. RNAcentral describes it as "partial 16S ribosomal RNA". It matches the Rfam family "Bacterial small subunit ribosomal RNA", at positions 29 to 507 of the family's 1533-position model. The record is from RNAcentral.